UACAGAGGUUCCAAGCGUUGUUCGGAUUCACUGGGCGUAAAGGGUGCGUAGGCGGUCAGAUAAGUCUGAUGUGAAAUCUUCGAGCUCAACUCGGAAACUGCAUCGGAAACUAUCUGGCUAGAGGAUUGGAGGGGAGACUGGAAUUCUCGGUGUAGCAGUGAAAUGCGUAGAUAUCGAGAGGAACACCAGUGGCGAAGGCGAGUCUCUGGACAAUUCCUGACGCUGAGGCACGAAAGCUAGGGGAGCAAACAGG
RNAcentral lists this ribosomal RNA (253 nucleotides) under uncultured prokaryote. RNAcentral describes it as "partial 16S ribosomal RNA". It matches the Rfam family "Bacterial small subunit ribosomal RNA", at positions 524 to 776 of the family's 1533-position model. The record is from RNAcentral.